This 842-nucleotide ribosomal RNA is filed under the name Staphylococcus aureus. RNAcentral describes it as "partial 23S ribosomal RNA". It matches the Rfam family "Bacterial large subunit ribosomal RNA", at positions 605 to 1452 of the family's 2925-position model. Lineage: Bacteria; Bacillati; Bacillota; Bacilli; Caryophanales; Staphylococcaceae. The record is from RNAcentral.
CUUUUGUAGAAUGAACCGGCGAGUUACGAUUUGAUGCAAGGUUAAGCAGUAAAUGUGGAGCCGUAGCGAAAGCGAGUCUGAAUAGGGCGUUUAGUAUUUGGUCGUAGACCCGAAACCAGGUGAUCUACCCUUGGUCAGGUUGAAGUUCAGGUAACACUGAAUGGAGGACCGAACCGACUUACGUUGAAAAGUGAGCGGAUGAACUGAGGGUAGCGGAGAAAUUCCAAUCGAACCUGGAGAUAGCUGGUUCUCUCCGAAAUAGCUUUAGGGCUAGCCUCAAGUGAUGAUUAUUGGAGGUAGAGCACUGUUUGGACGAGGGGCCCCUCUCGGGUUACCGAAUUCAGACAAACUCCGAAUGCCAAUUAAUUUAACUUGGGAGUCAGAACAUGGGUGAUAAGGUCCGUGUUCGAAAGGGAAACAGCCCAGACCACCAGCUAAGGUCCCAAAAUAUAUGUUAAGUGGAAAAGGAUGUGGCGUUGCCCAGACAACUAGGAUGUUGGCUUAGAAGCAGCCAUCAUUUAAAGAGUGCGUAAUAGCUCACUAGUCGAGUGACACUGCGCCGAAAAUGUACCGGGGCUAAACAUAUUACCGAAGCUGUGGAUUGUCCUUUGGACAAUGGUAGGAGAGCGUUCUAAGGGCGUUGAAGCAUGAUCGUAAGGACAUGUGGAGCGCUUAGAAGUGAGAAUGCCGGUGUGAGUAGCGAAAGACGGGUGAGAAUCCCGUCCACCGAUUGACUAAGGUUUCCAGAGGAAGGCUCGUCCGCUCUGGGUUAGUCGGGUCCUAAGCUGAGGCCGACAGGCGUAGGCGAUGGAUAACAGGUUGAUAUUCCUGUACCACCUAUA